GUGUAAUGCGUUUAGGUUAUUUAUUUGAUUUAAAUAUUGGGGAAAUCCCCUUAAAAAGGCCUCAUAUCAUGCUCGCAGAGAAAUAUACAACAGAAUGAAAUGUACAUUUACCUGUUGAAACCCACACUCGACGGUGAAUGAAAUCGUUUGAGUGUGGACUAAAAUAUCAACCAUAAACAUAAAUCGUAAUGAUUUAAAGGUUGCAAACAAAAAUAUUAACAAAUGAAAUAUGAUUUUUCAAUAAUUGCAAACGUUGUGUGCAUUAGAAACAAGAACAGGUUGAAGGGAUCGUAUGAAUAAUUAAAUAUUAUUUCGCAACUUCUAUUUAAAUAUUCAUGAGGAAAAGUGAUAUCGGGUCGGUGACUGUAUAUGACAUAGAAAUAUACAGUCAACGCAUUUCGACUGCUUAAAUAGAACGAGGGCAGUAUAAAUAUCAUUAUGAAUUAUGUAUUCUUAUUAAUUUUAUAAUCAAUAUCUUUCAAUAUUAAACAGAGGAUAAACAAACAAGUUUAACCAGCAAUUUGUUGUUAGUAUGGGUAGGUUGAUGGUAAUUUCUUGUUUUUUUUUCAUUUUUCUUUUUAGACAUGCUUUACACGAAAAAAAAUGUUAGAGCAGGGGAAAAAUUUAUGUCAUACAUUUUUCGUAGGCAACAUCAACCAAUUAAAUUUUACAUACGACCUUCCUCAAGCGUAGUGAAUUGUUAACCUUCACUGUACUACACCAUGUUAUUUAUAAAGCAAGACAAGUGUUUGUCGUACUGGACUGAAUCUUUUGUUCUCGUUACAUUUUUG
Molecule: long non-coding RNA, 791 nt
Filed under: Mytilus galloprovincialis (Mediterranean mussel)
Lineage: Eukaryota; Metazoa; Mollusca; Bivalvia; Mytilida; Mytilidae
Source: RNAcentral